UCAGUUUCACUCUUCCAUUCCAUCAUCUGAUACACGUUACAACUUUCUCACUUCUUCUUCCGUUCCUUUUCUCCUCCACCCAAACGAUUUCUUCUUCCUCCUCAUCCUCCACCUGAGAGACAACAUGGUUGAUUCUUACCCCAUUACCAAUGACUCAGUGAAGAUUUCAUCUCUCGCUACUGGAGGAGACGCACCUAAUGACACCAAGCCCUAAUUGGAUCCGCUCUAUUUCAACUCAAUUCAUAACCAGAUGAAGAGUGUGAAGGAUAUCCAAAAAAUCACCAAGGAAUGAAAUUGACAUUAUUGUUGUUGGUAUUUUUUAAGGGAGUUGUGUUGCUAUUGUGGAUUCAGGAACAUCUUUUCUUGCCGAUCCAAUUUUACUUGCUUACAUUAUAGUGGUCAGUAGCGGUGUUUCUCAAAUUUAUCUAGACCAUGCUGAGAAGCAUAGAUGUGUCAAACAAGAAUGAUAUAUGCACCUGACAUGUGCAAGCCUUUGAAGAACACUAGCGGAGCUUUCUAAAUUGGCUUAUACCUUAAUGAGGAAUUCGGUCGCAUAAGCUUUGUUCUUCUGUUGUGCCUUUUAUUUUUUGAUUUGGAUUGCCUUUGGAAUGAGCAUCUGCAAGCUUCCCAAAUGAAUCUAUAGGAUACUCCUCCAUUUUUCAAGGAGCUGCGUACUCGAGUACUGCUAUGUACAUGUUCUUCCCGCGUUAAGGUAAUAUUCUGAAUUUUCAAUAUCAACAAAUUUGUUUUUUUUUCCUUGAAUUUUAAUCGUUGUUCUGACGCAGUCUGAAGUAGCAGAUCAGAGAGACUUGCGGGACAUGCGAUUUUAAUACAAAACAUGCUUUGUUCUAAAAGUUGUUUGAUACUUGGAUAUUAUGUAUUAGAAAUGUUUCACUUUUUUUAAUUUGGCCUUUUUGAAGUCUCAUCUUGAUACUUACAUAUUCUUACAACUUUCUCUUAUCUGUAGAGGGUGAGUUAUUAAUUGAUUGAGGCAUCCAGGAACAAAAAUAUUACUUUGACAAUGACAUGAUAUUCAUCAUUAUAUUAAUCAUGAUUCUUGAUCC
Lotus japonicus is the source of this 1064-nucleotide long non-coding RNA. RefSeq lists it as uncharacterized. The transcript is spliced from 8 exons. The record is from RefSeq and is a predicted model, not a curated record. Lineage: Eukaryota; Viridiplantae; Streptophyta; Magnoliopsida; Fabales; Fabaceae.